Molecule: ribosomal RNA, 137 nt
Filed under: Bacillus cereus
Lineage: Bacteria; Bacillati; Bacillota; Bacilli; Caryophanales; Bacillaceae
Also listed under: 2 other names
Description: partial 16S ribosomal RNA
Rfam family: Bacterial small subunit ribosomal RNA
Source: RNAcentral
CUUUAUUGGAGAGUUUGAUCCUGGCUCAGGAUGAACGCUGGCGGCGUGCCUAAUACAUGCAAGUCGAGCGAAUGGAUUAAGAGCUUGCUCUUAUGAAGUUAGCGGCGGACGGGUGAGUAACACGUGGGUAACCUGCC